GAUGAACGCUGGCGGCGUGCCUAAUACAUGCAAGUCGAGCGAACAGACGAGGAGCUUGCUCCUCUGACGUUAGCGGCGGACGGGUGAGUAACACGUGGAUAACCUACCUAUAAGACUGGGAUAACUUCGGGAAACCGGAGCUAAUACCGGAUAAUAUAUUGAACCGCAUGGUUCAAUAGUGAAAGACGGUUUUGCUGUCACUUAUAGAUGGAUCCGCGCCGCAUUAGCUAGUUGGUAAGGUAACGGCUUACCAAGGCAACGAUGCGUAGCCGACAUGAGAGGGUGAUCGGACACACUGGAACUGAGACACGGUCCAGACUCCUACGGGAGGCAGCAGUAGGGAAUCUUCCGCAAUGGGCGAAAGCAUGACGGAGCAACGCCGCGUGAGUGAUGAAGGUCUUCGGAUCGUAAAACUCUGUUAUUAGGGAAGAACAAAUGUGUAAGUAACUAUGCACGUAUUGACGGUACCUAAUCAGAAAGCCACGGCUAACUACGUG
Molecule: ribosomal RNA, 497 nt
Filed under: uncultured bacterium
Lineage: Bacteria
Description: partial 16S ribosomal RNA
Rfam family: Bacterial small subunit ribosomal RNA
Source: RNAcentral